RNAcentral lists this ribosomal RNA (502 nucleotides) under uncultured Microbacterium sp. Its description in RNAcentral is "bacterial SSU rRNA". It matches the Rfam family "Bacterial small subunit ribosomal RNA", at positions 378 to 891 of the family's 1533-position model. Lineage: Bacteria; Bacillati; Actinomycetota; Actinomycetes; Micrococcales; Microbacteriaceae. The record is from RNAcentral.
GCAGCCUGAUGCAGCACGCCGCGUGAGGGACGACGGCCUUCGGGUUGUAAACCUCUUUUAGCAGGGAAGAAGCGAAAGUGACGGUACCUGCAGAAAAAGCGCCGGCUAACUACGUGCCAGCAGCCGCGGUAAUACGUAGGGCGCAAGCGUUAUCCGGAAUUAUUGGGCGUAAAGAGCUCGUAGGCGGUUUGUCGCGUCUGCUGUGAAAUCCGGAGGCUCAACCUCCGGCCUGCAGUGGGUACGGGCAGACUAGAGUGCGGUAGGGGAGAUUGGAAUUCCUGGUGUAGCGGUGGAAUGCGCAGAUAUCAGGAGGAACACCGAUGGCGAAGGCAGAUCUCUGGGCCGUAACUGACGCUGAGGAGCGAAAGGGUGGGGAGCAAACAGGCUUAGAUACCCUGGUAGUCCACCCCGUAAACGUUGGGAACUAGUUGUGGGGUCCAUUCCACGGAUUCCGUGACGCAGCUAACGCAUUAAGUUCCCCGCCUGGGGAGUACGGCCGCAA